GGAGUUACCGCAUCGAAGAGCUCCAUCGCUGGUGAGUUUCGAUUUUCUACUUUUUUAGCCCACUGAGGGCCCUAAAUGUGUUUUCUCGCAGGAACUGAUGCAAGUUUUGCUGAAUUCGACUGAAAAUUGCCAAAAACAGCCAACCCGAGGUGGGUCGCCGCCACCGCCAGCGGUGCCGUCGUCGGAGCAUGGCGGAGCCGCUGUGCUAGAUUUUUGAAAUUGGCCGAGUAGGCCCUGGAACUGAUUUUGGGUUUAUUGGGACAUUUGUAGGUACUGUAAGCGUGUUCCAAUUUCCGAAGAAAAUUUCAGGGAACCCAAGGACCGCCCGUAGGCACAGUAACCAUUUAGUUUUCGACGUCAAAUCAGGUAAGGACCCUUCACCCUAUUUCUUAUCAUAGAUGUGAAGUUUGAAUAAAUAAUAAUACGGUCUUUUGUACAAGUUAGAUAAACAUGCAUAAUUAAUUACGGAUUGCUAAUGAAGUCCAAAAUUGGACAUUGUUCUCUAUUGAUUUU
This 513-nucleotide long non-coding RNA is filed under the name Carica papaya (papaya). RNAcentral's name for it is "long non-coding RNA (CPAP_LNC003774)". Lineage: Eukaryota; Viridiplantae; Streptophyta; Magnoliopsida; Brassicales; Caricaceae. The record is from RNAcentral.